CUAUGCGACCGCAUAGAUGGUUACACUAUGCGGUCGCAUAGACUAACCAACUAUGAAGUCUUUACAUUUUGGUCCCUGAACUUUCCUUGUUGCUUCUCUUGACUUCUUUCUUCGAUUUCUUCAUCUUUUCAACAAAUGUUAUCCUCCAAUUGAUGAUUGACACCAUCGAAUCUCUUGCCACUCAUUCGGCUCAUCUUUUGAGUAUUUGCGCUUUAGUCCUCCAACUUUUAACUGUCUUCAUUUCAGUCCCUCUUCGAUUCUUUCUUCCUCCACUUGUUUUGCUUUGUCCUUGAGCUCAUACUCGGAAUGUUUUUACUCUCGUUUUGCAUUUAGCUCAACUUCUCAAUAUUUGCACCUUUGGUCCUCGAACUAUCAAUUUGUUGCGUUUUGGUCCUUCUUCGGCUCUUUUCUCCUGAAUUCCACAAUUUCCAUUGAAUUACCUACAAUGCAUGAAUUUAACUAGAUUAAGUCACAAUUCAACCAUUUUAUCCAUGUUUAAGUCAUGUUUGUGAACCAAAUCAGUGUGUAAAAACAUACUUAUC
RNAcentral lists this long non-coding RNA (542 nucleotides) under Olea europaea (common olive). RNAcentral describes it as "long non-coding RNA (OEUR_LNC002992)". The record is from RNAcentral. Lineage: Eukaryota; Viridiplantae; Streptophyta; Magnoliopsida; Lamiales; Oleaceae.